UACGCUAUUCAAUUACACUAUUUUCUUUUUCUCUCUCUAGUUUGAUACGCCAUUCAAUAAUGAAAGCAGUAAGUUUCCUCUUUAUCAAUUUGCCAUCUUCAACUGCUCCAAUCCGAAUGUCCAGCAAUUACACCGCAAUUGAUAAUCAGAAUGUUUCCGGAUCUGUUCCUGUAAUUCUUUUCUCAUUUUUUUUUUGGUUUGAUUGAAUUAUUAUUCUGCCGUCGUUCAGAUCUAAUUGUCUAAUUUCUUAUAUAUUAUAGGCAGUCGCAGAUCCACCUUGCCAAGUUGCCGUCAAAUUCACUAGUAAUGUCUUCAGAUUUUCAACAAAAUUAUACAGUAGUAUUUUUGUGGAU
RNAcentral lists this long non-coding RNA (353 nucleotides) under Nicotiana tabacum (common tobacco). RNAcentral describes it as "long non-coding RNA (NTAB_LNC017082)". The record is from RNAcentral. Lineage: Eukaryota; Viridiplantae; Streptophyta; Magnoliopsida; Solanales; Solanaceae.